RNAcentral lists this ribosomal RNA (468 nucleotides) under uncultured bacterium. RNAcentral describes it as "partial 16S ribosomal RNA". It matches the Rfam family "Bacterial small subunit ribosomal RNA", at positions 28 to 507 of the family's 1533-position model. The record is from RNAcentral.
GACGAACGCUGGCGGCGUGCUUAACACAUGCAAGUCGAACGGAAGGGCCCUGAUUUUGUGGGGUUCUCGAGUGGCGAACGCGUGAGUAACACGCGAGUAACCUGCCCUUGACUGUGGGAUAACUUCACGAAACUGGGGCGAAUAUCCCAUAGAAUCUCUUGCUGCAUGUGGUUGAAUGGAAAAAUUCGGCGGUGCGGGAUGGACUCGCUGCUUAUCAGCUUGUUUGGGGAGUUGUUGCUGACCAGGGCUUUGACGGCUAGCCGGCAUGGGAGGGUGACCGGGCACAUUGGGCCUGAGAUAAGGCCCAGAAUGCUAUGGGCGGCAGCAGUGGGGAAUAUUGCACAAUGGGCGGACGCAUGAGGUAGAAACGCUGCGUGCGGGAUGACGGCUUUCGAGUUGUAAACAGCUUUCGACGGUGAUGAAGAGUGAGUGACGGUAAUGAGUAAAGAAGCAACGGCUAACUACGUG